GGUUACAUAAACAUCAUAAAAAUCACUAAGAUCAUGUAUUAAAAGGGAUACAACAAUCUAUGGUCAAGCACAAUUCUAAUAUCCAUAUACAUCAUCUCUGUACAUAUCUAUACUGACUAAGACAUUACAUUACAAUUUGAUCAUGUCCAUUGCUAACUAUUACAUAAGCAUGACUUCUUUACCCUAUCCGGACUCCCGCAUUAUACUGUACCUGCAAGCCUGGGGGUAAAGGGAGAGGGGUGAGCUAAAAGCCCAGU
RNAcentral lists this long non-coding RNA (257 nucleotides) under Manihot esculenta (cassava). Its description in RNAcentral is "long non-coding RNA (MESC_LNC009611)". Lineage: Eukaryota; Viridiplantae; Streptophyta; Magnoliopsida; Malpighiales; Euphorbiaceae. The record is from RNAcentral.